Molecule: non-coding RNA, 2468 nt
Organism: Odocoileus virginianus texanus
Lineage: Eukaryota; Metazoa; Chordata; Mammalia; Artiodactyla; Cervidae
Source: RefSeq, a predicted model, not a curated record
ACUAAAACAAAACAAAAAUAGAUGGUUAAAUUUCUAAGUAAAUAUUCUGUUUUAAAGAUAUUUAUCUUUUUUCACAUAAAUGAAAAGAUACUGUUUCAGCAUCUUUAGCAUAAAAAGCCUAACAGUAUGUAUUAAAGUUUUCAGCAGUGUUAACAGAAAAGUUUAACUGCUAGGAUAUUUAAAACAAAGCAAUUAGAAAUAAAUUUCUGGGACAAUCUUGCAUGUAACUAGAGCCAGGAACCAGGUUCAAGUAAAUUAUAAAGCCAGCCCAUAUUAUGUGUCCCACAGCUGUGGAACUAACCAGUGAAAAUGAUGGGCCCUUUUAAAUUGGGGGUCAUGACACAUUAGUGGGUCAUGAUUAACUUUUAAAAAAUUAAAAGUACAUUUGCAUUUAGUAAGGGAAAUAGUGUUCCAUUUUUGUUUGGGUUAUAUUUACAUAUGCAAAUGUGUACCAAGUCACACAGUGUGGUAUUGUGGGGAUAGUCAAGAGUUUGAAAGCCACUGCUUAGAGAACUAGUUGUAAAGGGCAGCAAGAAACUGCCACAUCAUCAGCAGGAAGUUAGAACACGGUACUUGGAAGUGCAUUGGGGGUCGGGGGGAGAGAGGCGCUUUCUCUUCCUGUAGGUUUUGCCCUGCAACAGAAAGGUGCCCGUCUUUCACUUUCUUUGCCUAGAAUGAUGGUAAUUAUCAGCAGUGUUUUCUAGCAAUAUUGCAUGUAGACAGAAUAUUUCUUAUGCAUGAAUUAGAAAAUUCAGUCAAAUUAAACAUUUAAAUAUUCUUUGUCUUAAGCUUUUUGUUUCCCUUUAUGGGUUUUUAAAAUAUGAACACCUAGAGGAAUCAGAGACAGAGAUUAGCAAUUAACUGGAACUUUUAAGUUCUGUAAUAGUGACAGAUGCUUUGUUUAACAUGUAUUGAAUGAAGUGACUCUGAAAAUUUUUAUCUGACAAAAUAUGCUAAAAGAAAAUCUAUUAACAUUUAAAGUGACACUAAAGACCCGGUUUUCUCAGCAAAUUACAGAGUUUUCUUCUAUAGACUGCUUGGAACUGGAAAUUAAUACAUAAUACUGAGAAAUCAGUAUGAUUCCUGCCACCAGUCUCCCUUCCAAUCUUUUCUCCACAUGGAUUGAUUGAUACUAGUUCAAUAGCUUUCCUACUUAAAAUCCUUUGGGUCCUGAUAAAAUCUAAACCACAGAUGGUGGCACAUGGGCUGCACUCUCUGGCCUGUCCUCCCUAUCACUGAGCAUCCUACUUUCUGCCACACUGCGGUCACUGUUCCCAGCUCUUCCCCAGCCUGCCUUCACUCAAGCUGUGUGUUUAUCUCCGUCUGGCCUAACUCCCAGUUCAGCUCAGUAAACAGUUGAAAUGUCACUUGAGUUACUUGAGUGCUCUAUUUCCCCUCAGGGCAGGCAGCUGCUCUGUCCUGUGUGUUCCUACCCCAUAACAGCACUGCUGUCUUGGAUUAUACUUACUAUCUGCUUGUUUGCUCCAGGAGGAUCUUUGUCAGGCUUGUUUAAUGCCUUACCCAAAGUGCCUGGCACAGUGCACCUACUUAUCUGAUGGGGUGAGGGUGGGAACGGUCUUGAUUCUUUCCUGUGGCCUCAGUAACCUGUAUCUCCCAUGAUACUUGACAAGAGCUCCAGAAUGUAUUUCAUGGAAUUUACAGUCUAAAGUGGGGGGAGGGGGAAUCUCUAUUCAAAAAAUUAAAACUGUUAAUAGAUGCUAAUUAGUAUUCAGCAUUAGACUAGAGGCAUGUUUAUUUCUGAAAUGUAGUUUAAAAUUUUUCAGUUUGCAAAUGUUGACUUUCCCAAGGAAGUAAAAUUCUGUAAAGUUCUGCACUUUUUUCCAGUUGGAAAAAGGAAAUCCUUUCUAAUAUUUGUCCUUUUGUUCAGAGGCUUAAAGAACAGUGUUAUUUCUUAAGUUUAUUCAAGCUGUGAAAUCAUUUGUGUCUCCUGCUAAGAUUGCUUUUAUAAUCAUCAGCAGGAAACCUGCAAGAUAACAGAACUUAAGCCAGGAAAUGAAGUUUUUAUAUAUUUUGAUCCAGCAUGUGUACUUUUGACUCCACACCAAGGUGCAUCUAAAGGGUCCUGCAUCCUCUGCAUUUCUUCAAGGAGCUCUAAAGUGCAAUCCACAAUCUUGAUCGGAUUUAAGUUGAAUUUUAUUUUUUUGCAAGAAUUUCAUAGGUAGUAGUAUGAAUGAUCUUCUGUCCAGAAGCACAUAUCUAGUUGUCCUUUAAGUCAGAUGUGGAUGCCCCAAUGCCUAGACUGAUUAGUUCAUAAGGAGUUGCAAAAUGAUAAUACUAUAAUUCCAUCAGUCUGUCAUUUAUUAGCUAGAAUACCUGUAUAAAGAGAAAAUUCCUGUCUACUAUUAGGUACUCAGUGGUAGAGGUAAAUAAAAAAAUCUUUUAAAUGUGUUGAUUACCUAAGUUUGUGGUGCUGUUAUUUUUAACACAUUAAUUUUUCAUCUUUUUUA